RNAcentral lists this ribosomal RNA (2929 nucleotides) under Escherichia coli. RNAcentral's name for it is "bacterial LSU rRNA". It matches the Rfam family "Bacterial large subunit ribosomal RNA". Lineage: Bacteria; Pseudomonadati; Pseudomonadota; Gammaproteobacteria; Enterobacterales; Enterobacteriaceae. The record is from RNAcentral.
GGGUUGUGAGGUUAAGCGACUAAGCGUACACGGUGGAUGCCCUGGCAGUCAGAGGCGAUGAAGGACGUGCUAAUCUGCGAUAAGCGUCGGUAAGGUGAUAUGAACCGUUAUAACCGGCGAUUUCCGAAUGGGGAAACCCAGUGUGAUUCGACACACUAUCAUUAACUGAAUCCAUAGGUUAAUGAGGCGAACCGGGGGAACUGAAACAUCUAAGUACCCCGAGGAAAAGAAAUCAACCGAGAUUCCCCCAGUAGCGGCGAGCGAACGGGGAGCAGCCCAGAGCCUGAAUCAGUGUGUGUGUUAGUGGAAGCGUCUGGAAAGGCGCGCGAUACAGGGUGACAGCCCCGUACACAAAAAUGCACAUGCUGUGAGCUCGAUGAGUAGGGCGGGACACGUGGUAUCCUGUCUGAAUAUGGGGGGACCAUCCUCCAAGGCUAAAUACUCCUGACUGACCGAUAGUGAACCAGUACCGUGAGGGAAAGGCGAAAAGAACCCCGGCGAGGGGAGUGAAAAAGAACCUGAAACCGUGUACGUACAAGCAGUGGGAGCACGCUUAGGCGUGUGACUGCGUACCUUUUGUAUAAUGGGUCAGCGACUUAUAUUCUGUAGCAAGGUUAACCGAAUAGGGGAGCCGAAGGGAAACCGAGUCUUAACUGGGCGUUAAGUUGCAGGGUAUAGACCCGAAACCCGGUGAUCUAGCCAUGGGCAGGUUGAAGGUUGGGUAACACUAACUGGAGGACCGAACCGACUAAUGUUGAAAAAUUAGCGGAUGACUUGUGGCUGGGGGUGAAAGGCCAAUCAAACCGGGAGAUAGCUGGUUCUCCCCGAAAGCUAUUUAGGUAGCGCCUCGUGAAUUCAUCUCCGGGGGUAGAGCACUGUUUCGGCAAGGGGUCAUCCCGACUUACCAACCCGAUGCAAACUGCGAAUACCGGAGAAUGUUAUCACGGGAGACACACGGCGGGUGCUAACGUCCGUCGUGAAGAGGGAAACAACCCAGACCGCCAGCUAAGGUCCCAAAGUCAUGGUUAAGUGGGAAACGAUGUGGGAAGGCCCAGACAGCCAGGAUGUUGGCUUAGAAGCAGCCAUCAUUUAAAGAAAGCGUAAUAGCUCACUGGUCGAGUCGGCCUGCGCGGAAGAUGUAACGGGGCUAAACCAUGCACCGAAGCUGCGGCAGCGACGCUUAUGCGUUGUUGGGUAGGGGAGCGUUCUGUAAGCCUGCGAAGGUGUGCUGUGAGGCAUGCUGGAGGUAUCAGAAGUGCGAAUGCUGACAUAAGUAACGAUAAAGCGGGUGAAAAGCCCGCUCGCCGGAAGACCAAGGGUUCCUGUCCAACGUUAAUCGGGGCAGGGUGAGUCGACCCCUAAGGCGAGGCCGAAAGGCGUAGUCGAUGGGAAACAGGUUAAUAUUCCUGUACUUGGUGUUACUGCGAAGGGGGGACGGAGAAGGCUAUGUUGGCCGGGCGACGGUUGUCCCGGUUUAAGCGUGUAGGCUGGUUUUCCAGGCAAAUCCGGAAAAUCAAGGCUGAGGCGUGAUGACGAGGCACUACGGUGCUGAAGCAACAAAUGCCCUGCUUCCAGGAAAAGCCUCUAAGCAUCAGGUAACAUCAAAUCGUACCCCAAACCGACACAGGUGGUCAGGUAGAGAAUACCAAGGCGCUUGAGAGAACUCGGGUGAAGGAACUAGGCAAAAUGGUGCCGUAACUUCGGGAGAAGGCACGCUGAUAUGUAGGUGAAGUCCCUCGCGGAUGGAGCUGAAAUCAGUCGAAGAUACCAGCUGGCUGCAACUGUUUAUUAAAAACACAGCACUGUGCAAACACGAAAGUGGACGUAUACGGUGUGACGCCUGCCCGGUGCCGGAAGGUUAAUUGAUGGGGUUAGCGCAAGCGAAGCUCUUGAUCGAAGCCCCGGUAAACGGCGGCCGUAACUAUAACGGUCCUAAGGUAGCGAAAUUCCUUGUCGGGUAAGUUCCGACCUGCACGAAUGGCGUAAUGAUGGCCAGGCUGUCUCCACCCGAGACUCAGUGAAAUUGAACUCGCUGUGAAGAUGCAGUGUAUCCGCGGCAAGACGGAAAGACCCCGUGAACCUUUACUAUAGCUUGACACUGAACAUUGAGCCUUGAUGUGUAGGAUAGGUGGGAGGCUUUGAAGUGUGGACGCCAGUCUGCAUGGAGCCGACCUUGAAAUACCACCCUUUAAUGUUUGAUGUUCUAACGUUGACCCGUAAUCCGGGUUGCGGACAGUGUCUGGUGGGUAGUUUGACUGGGGCGGUCUCCUCCUAAAGAGUAACGGAGGAGCACGAAGGUUGGCUAAUCCUGGUCGGACAUCAGGAGGUUAGUGCAAUGGCAUAAGCCAGCUUGACUGCGAGCGUGACGGCGCGAGCAGGUGCGAAAGCAGGUCAUAGUGAUCCGGUGGUUCUGAAUGGAAGGGCCAUCGCUCAACGGAUAAAAGGUACUCCGGGGAUAACAGGCUGAUACCGCCCAAGAGUUCAUAUCGACGGCGGUGUUUGGCACCUCGAUGUCGGCUCAUCACAUCCUGGGGCUGAAGUAGGUCCCAAGGGUAUGGCUGUUCGCCAUUUAAAGUGGUACGCGAGCUGGGUUUAGAACGUCGUGAGACAGUUCGGUCCCUAUCUGCCGUGGGCGCUGGAGAACUGAGGGGGGCUGCUCCUAGUACGAGAGGACCGGAGUGGACGCAUCACUGGUGUUCGGGUUGUCAUGCCAAUGGCACUGCCCGGUAGCUAAAUGCGGAAGAGAUAAGUGCUGAAAGCAUCUAAGCACGAAACUUGCCCCGAGAUGAGUUCUCCCUGACUCCUUGAGAGUCCUGAAGGAACGUUGAAGACGACGACGUUGAUAGGCCGGGUGUGUAAGCGCAGCGAUGCGUUGAGCUAACCGGUACUAAUGAACCGUGAGGCUUAACCUUACAACGCCGAAGCUGUU